CCUACGGGUGACAGCAGUGAGGAAUAUUGGUCAAUGGACGCAAGUCUGAACCAGCCAUGCCGCGUGCAGGAAGACGGCCCUAUGAGUUGUAAACUGCUUUUGUACGAGGGUAAACGCAGAUACGUGUAUCCGUCUGAAAGUACUGUACGAAUAAGGAUCGGCUAACUCCGUGCCAGCAGCCGCGGUAAUACGGAGGAUCCAAGCGUUAUCCGGAUUUAUUGGGUUUAAAGGGUGCGUAGGCGGUCGGAUAAGUUAGAGGUGAAAUCCCCGGGCUCAACUUGGGAAUUGCCUCUGAUACUGUUGAGCUAGAGAGUGGGUGCGGUAGGCGGAAUGUAUGGUGUAGCGGUGAAAUGCUUAGAGAUCAUACAGAACACCGAUUGCGAAGGCAGCUUACCAAGCUACAUCUGACGUUGAGGCACGAAAGCGUGGGGAGCAAACAGGAUUAGAUACCCCUGUAGUC
Molecule: ribosomal RNA, 460 nt
Filed under: uncultured bacterium
Lineage: Bacteria
Description: partial 16S ribosomal RNA
Rfam family: Bacterial small subunit ribosomal RNA
Source: RNAcentral